UUAACUCAAACUUGUGUGGAGUGGAACAUUUGCCCACGUUUGCCGCUAGGGGCGCUGUACUAACUGCAUACAAAUUUCAGUUA
This 83-nucleotide microRNA precursor is filed under the name Bombyx mori (domestic silkworm). RNAcentral's name for it is "mir-2807 microRNA precursor family". It matches the Rfam family "mir-2807 microRNA precursor family". The record is from Rfam by way of RNAcentral. Lineage: Eukaryota; Metazoa; Arthropoda; Insecta; Lepidoptera; Bombycidae.